GGCUUAUUGAAUUUAAUUUUAAGUCGAUCUGCCCAAUGAUAAUUAAUUGAAUGGCUGCGGUAUAACUAACUGUACGAAGGUAGCAUAAUAAAUUGUUUUUUAAUUGAAAACUGGAAUGAAAGAAUUAAUGAAAUAUAUACUGUCUCAUAUAUAUAUAUUAUGAAUUUAAAAUUUUAGUAAAAAUGCUGAGAUAUUUUUAUGGGACGAUAAGACCCUAUAGAAUUUUAUAUUAAUUUAAAUUUAUAAAAAAUUUAUGUUAAUAUUUGAUUGGGAGGAUUAAUAAAUUUGAAUAACUUUAUUUUAAAUUAAAACUUUAAUUUAAGAGUGAUUUAUUUGAUCUUGUAUUAUUAAUUAAAAGAAAAAAUUACCUUAGGGAUAACAGCGUAAUAUCUUUUUUAAGAUCGUAUUAAUAAAGAUGAUUGCGACCUCGAUGUUGAAUUAAGAUAAAUUUUAAAUGCAGAAGUUUAAUAAUUGAGUCUGUUCGACUUUUAAAAUCUU
This 498-nucleotide ribosomal RNA is filed under the name Bombus mendax. Its description in RNAcentral is "partial 16S ribosomal RNA". The stretch from base 375 to 498 matches the Rfam family "Bacterial large subunit ribosomal RNA", at positions 2473 to 2597 of the family's 2925-position model. The record is from RNAcentral. Lineage: Eukaryota; Metazoa; Arthropoda; Insecta; Hymenoptera; Apidae.